This 254-nucleotide ribosomal RNA is filed under the name uncultured prokaryote. RNAcentral describes it as "partial 16S ribosomal RNA". It matches the Rfam family "Bacterial small subunit ribosomal RNA", at positions 525 to 777 of the family's 1533-position model. The record is from RNAcentral.
ACGUAGGGAGCGAGCGUUGUCCGAAGUUACUGGGCGUAAAGCGCGCGUAGGCGGGCUGUUAAGUGAGAGGUGAAAGGCUGGGGCUCAACCCCAUGCAGUGCCUCUCAUACUGGCGGUCUUGAGUGAGGCAGGGAGAAGUGGAAUGGCUGGUGUAGCGGUGAAAUGCGUAGAUAUCAAGUGGAACACCAGUGGCGAAGGCGAGUCUCUGGACAUUUCCUGACGCUGAGGCACGAAAGCCAGGGGAGCAAACGGGA